Molecule: long non-coding RNA, 838 nt
Organism: Megalobrama amblycephala (Wuchang bream)
Lineage: Eukaryota; Metazoa; Chordata; Actinopteri; Cypriniformes; Xenocyprididae
Exons: 4
Source: RefSeq, a predicted model, not a curated record
CUCAUUACGUUGUAAAUUCCACAUCUUACUAUGUUAGUGGGGUUAUUUGGACCCCACAAAGUAAUAUAAACAAGGAUGUAUAUAUUUGUAUAUAUUGUAUUAUUUCUUUUAUGUAAAUGUGAAUUUUAAUAUGUUCAGUUUUAUCACUGCUGCUAACAGGACAUUUUAACAUCAUCAAAUCAUUUCUUUUUACAGAUAAUAUUAGAAGAUGGAUUAAAUCUUCAGUCCUUAACUUAGAUUUAGCUGUUUUUGCAAUAGUUUACUAUUCAGGUUUUUUUAGACGGAAUUGGGAAAGGACUAUACGUCUUGAAGAGACUGACAAAGUGGGAAUAAUUACUUUGUUUGGAGUAUUAGUUUUUCUCUGCAUCCUCUACAUCAUUAGGCAGCUGACUAAACUCAGAGAGCAGAAGAUGCCAUGGCAUGGAGAGAUAGUGAAAUGGAUAUCUGCUAAAUUUGAAUAUGUUGCUGUAGUGUGCAUGUAUUUUCUGAUUUGGUUUCAAUACAUCUUCCUGAUGUUUGGAUUUGGACUCACUAGUGGAGUAAAGCCCAAAGUGUUUGAUGGUCCAAUUUUCCCUGUGCUGUUUUUUUUGACAUUUUCUUGUUUGAAUGGAAUAAGGAAGAGAGAGAAAAGCUGUAAGUAUGUGAUUAAUCCUUUAUCUCUGUUAUAACUUCAUGAGUAAAUCUGUAUCCAAAAGUAACGCCAGUUUAAUUUAUUAGAGAUAAAUUAUUGAAAACUUCUAAAAUCUGUCAAAUCAGUAUUUCAGUCUUUAUCAGAAUUAGGGGCGUUGCAAUAUAUCAUUGUUGACGAUAAUCAUGAUAUUUUAAAAAUUAAAUAUCU